GCCUCUGUAGUGCAGUUGGUUGCAACGCGCUCCCGGAAAGAGUGAAAUGCGGGUUCAAUCCGCGUCUGAGGUU
This is a non-coding RNA of Parelaphostrongylus tenuis, 73 nucleotides long. The record is from the annotation of a GenBank genome assembly. NCBI's taxonomy places the organism in Eukaryota, Metazoa, Nematoda, Chromadorea, Rhabditida, Metastrongylidae.